RNAcentral lists this unclassified non-coding RNA (1703 nucleotides) under Polistes canadensis. RNAcentral describes it as "transmembrane protein 185A, transcript variant X2". Lineage: Eukaryota; Metazoa; Arthropoda; Insecta; Hymenoptera; Vespidae. The record is from RNAcentral.
UCAGUACGUUCCAAAUUUUGCAUAGUAUGUGGUGUAAUUUAUUUUUUAUGCAGGCAAAUGCACGAGAAAUUAUCUGUGAUUUUCCGCAGUAGGCUGCGCGAUAAAUGAAAGAUCAUUCGUGGAAUGUAUAGACAAAUAAAUAUUAUUGAAAAAGAUUUAAUCUUUCGUGGCAGUGCUGACAAACAUGAAUCUGCAAACACUUUUUCAAGAUUUCAAUCCAAGCAAAUUUUUGGUCUAUUCAUGUUUGAUGAUAUUUACUGCUUUGUUCGCUCUUCGAUUGGAUGGUUUCAUAGAAUGGAGCUACUGGACAAUAUUUAGCCCGAUUUGGUUUUGGAAGGGUAUGGUAAUAUUGGGUGCUACCAUUGGAAGUUAUGUUUGGUGGAGACAUCCACAUUCAAGAUUGGAAGGAGAUGCCUAUGUUCAUUACAAAGCAAUGUUGAUUACUUUGGCAUUACAUUUGAUCUUGUUAAUGUUCGAAUUGUUAGUAUGCGACAAACUGGAAUCUGAUAGGCAUUUAUGGAUAUUAGUCUUUAUACCGCUGAUUUUCAUCUCAGUUGUAUCUAUAGCUGUUUGCAUUUGGGCUGUGAAACACGAUAGGUCUUUUGAAUUAGAAUUAUUUUGCGCUGUCAAUGUAUUGCAAUUUAUUUUCUUGGCACUAAGACUAGAUGGCUUUAUUACUUGGAGUUGGGAGGUGGUGUUUGUACCUCUUUGGGCACUCCUUUGUUUGUCUCUAGUUGCUGUUCUAUAUGCAAUAGUGUUUGCUGCUGUUCUAUUAAGAACACCUCAGAUUAAUGCAAGACAAAGGCGGACAUCUUUACACUCAGCACUAGCAUAUACAUUUCUUGUUGUUCCAAUUUUAAUAUUUCAAGUACUAUUAGCUAAUAAAUUGGACGGUGAUAUUUCUUUAAAUUAUACAACAGUAGCGAUGCCUUUACUCAUAUCUCACAUAACACUUAUUUUCAUGUCUUUUGGAGCGAAAGGAGGAAAUAGAUGGUGGUUUGGUAUUCGGAAGGACUUUUGCCAUUUUCUGUUAAGCCUAUGUCCAUUGCUUCAAGAGUAUGGUAACAUUUCUUAUCAACCAAGAGGCGAACAAGAUCAACCGCCAUCCGAACCAAUGGUUAGUGAAAAGAAUGAGAAGCACAUAAAGAAAAUUGACCUAACUAAACCUGUAGUGCCUAUAAUUUCUAUAGAUAUGCCCGAUUGAUCGAAUUGGCCUAGAAUUUAUCUUGAAUAUUAAUACAUUCUUUUCAAUGUUACCUGUGAGUUGCCAUGUACGUAACAUGAAACUGAAAGAGAGAAAGAAAGAGAAAGAAAAAGAAAGAGAGAGAGAGAGAGAGAGUGAGAAAGAGUUUAACAUGCGCCAGGGCAAUCGUGAUGAUCAUGUUAUGCAUCUUGUUAUUGGAAAUUAAAUUUUAAAGAUGCUCACAAGAGCAUUAUUUGUUUUUUUAUAUAAAAUACAAAUGAAAAAAGGUAAUUAUGUUAUCCCUGUUUGACUUAAAGGUUGAAACAAACUUAUGUUUGCAUAUAAAUCGAAGUAAUUGGCUCCAAAAAUGUAUGUUAUAGUGUAAUUGUUAUGGUGCUCAAUAUGAUAACGAGUUUAGAUCUACUUUAUCUUCCACAUAUCUAAUCACUUAAUUUGUCCUUAGCAUAAGUAAUUGACCCGUCCAUUUGUUUCAGUAAUUCUUUUUUGAAAUGUAAAUUUU